Molecule: transfer RNA, 71 nt
Filed under: Branchiostoma floridae (Florida lancelet)
Lineage: Eukaryota; Metazoa; Chordata; Leptocardii; Amphioxiformes; Branchiostomatidae
Rfam family: tRNA
About the family: Transfer RNA (tRNA) molecules are approximately 80 nucleotides in length. Their secondary structure includes four short double-helical elements and three loops (D, anti-codon, and T loops).
Source: Rfam by way of RNAcentral
GGCAAGAGAGCUAUGGCUGACAGUGCUGGUUUCUCAAACCAGAUGUCCUGGGUUCAACUCCAGCCUUGCCC